This 484-nucleotide ribosomal RNA is filed under the name uncultured bacterium. Its description in RNAcentral is "partial 16S ribosomal RNA". It matches the Rfam family "Bacterial small subunit ribosomal RNA", at positions 30 to 507 of the family's 1533-position model. The record is from RNAcentral.
AUUGAACGCUGGCGGCAGGCCUAACACAUGCAAGUCGAGCGGAUGAAGGGAGCUUGCUCCUGGAUUCAGCGGCGGACGGGUGAGUAAUGCCUAGGAAUCUGCCUGGUAGUGGGGGAUAACGUCCGGAAACGGGCGCUAAUACCGCAUACGUCCUGAGGGAGAAAGUGGGGGAUCUUCGAACCUCACGCUAUCAGAUGAGCCUAGGUCGGAUUAGCUAGUUGGUGGGGUAAAGGCCUACCAAGGCGACGAUCCGUAACUGGUCUGAGAGGAUGAUCAGUCACACUGGAACUGAGACACGGUCCAGACUCCGACGGGAGGCAGAGGUGGGGAAUAUCGGACAAUGGGCGGAAGCCUGAUCCAGCCAUGCCGCGUGUGUGAAGAAGGUCUUCGGAUUGUAAAGCACUUUAAGUUGGGAGGAAGGGCAGUAAGUUAAUACCUUGCUGUUUUGACGUUACCAACAGAAUAAGCACCGGCUAACUUCGUG